Caenorhabditis elegans is the source of this 287-nucleotide non-coding RNA. Lineage: Eukaryota; Metazoa; Nematoda; Chromadorea; Rhabditida; Rhabditidae. The record is from Ensembl.
UUUGUGUUCAGAUCAAAUAGAUACUCGUUUUUUUCAAGUGUCAUACUGAAAAUGAAUUAAGCUUAAAUAUUAUUGAAAACCUUGAAAACUUACACAUGUCCACUAGUUAGAUCGGCUGCACUAUUGUAAGUGUGAAGACCAAUAACUGAUUCAGAAGAAAGUGAACCGUCACCAACCAUUUUGUUCGAAAUAGAUUUUUUGAAUUCUGAGGUUCUUUUUAUAGUGAUUUUUUUCUUAUUAUUUCAAUAUCACCACGUGCUUAUUUUAAAAGUGAACACUUUUAUUUA